CAUAAAUACAAUGAAUAUCUAAAUGAGAUGUGGACAUACGAAGGACCGGAUUGUAUCCAAAAAUUUUGUCAAGCACUUAGGAUGAAAACCGAUGGACUUUAUGAGAAGUACUGGAAGUCCUAU
Molecule: long non-coding RNA, 123 nt
Organism: Drosophila miranda
Lineage: Eukaryota; Metazoa; Arthropoda; Insecta; Diptera; Drosophilidae
Exons: 2
Source: RefSeq, a predicted model, not a curated record